RNAcentral lists this ribosomal RNA (271 nucleotides) under uncultured prokaryote. RNAcentral's name for it is "partial 16S ribosomal RNA". It matches the Rfam family "Bacterial small subunit ribosomal RNA", at positions 524 to 794 of the family's 1533-position model. The record is from RNAcentral.
CACGUAGGAGGCAAACGUUAUCCGGAUUUACUGGGCGUAAAGCGCGUGUAGGUGGUUCUGUAAGUAGGGCGUGAAAGCUCCUGGCUCAACUGGGAGAGGCCGUUCUAAACUGCAGAGCUAGAGGAUGGUAGAGGGAGGUGGAAUUCCAGGUGUAGCGGUGGAAUGCGCAGAUAUCUGGAGGAACACCAGUGGCGAAGGCGGCCUCCUGGACCAUUCCUGACACUCAGACGCGAAAGCUAGGGUAGCAAACGGGAUUAGAUACCCCGGUAGU